RNAcentral lists this transfer RNA (65 nucleotides) under Eurygaster testudinaria. Its description in RNAcentral is "tRNA-Pro". Lineage: Eukaryota; Metazoa; Arthropoda; Insecta; Hemiptera; Scutelleridae. The record is from RNAcentral.
CAGUAAGUAGUUUAAUUAAAAUAUUAAUUUUGGAGAUUAAUGAUGAAUUUAUAAUUCUUUACUGA